AUGCCUACACCAACCAGAGAGGAAGCAAAUGAUGAUCAUGAAACUUUGGAUCAAGUUACCAGUGAACCUGGUAGGUCGACCAGAACACGUAUCGCACCAGAGUGGUACGGUAAUCUUAUCCUGGAAGUCAUGUUGUUAGACAACGGCGAACCUACGAACUAUGAAGAAGCUAUGAUGAGCUCAGAUUCCGACAAAUGGCUUGAGGCCAUGAAAUCUGAGAUAGGAUCCAUGUAUGAGAACAAAGUGUGGACUUUGGUGGACUUGCCCAAUGAUCGGCAAGCCAUUGAAAAUAAAUGGAUCUUCAAGAGGAAGACGGACGCUGAUGGUAAUAUCACUGUCUACAAAGCUCGACUUGUGGCAAAAGGUUUUCUACAAGUUCAAGGGGUUGAUUACGAUGAGACUUUCUCACACGUAGUGAUGCUUAAGUCUGUCAGAAUCAUGUUAGCAAUUGCCGCAUUUUAUGAUUAUGAAAUCUGGCAAAUGGACGUUAAAACUGCAUUCCUUAACGGGUUUCUUAAAGAAGAGUUGUAUAUUAUGCAACCAAAAGGUUUUGUCGAUCCUAAGGGUGCUAACAAAGUGUGCAAGCUCCAGCGAUCCAUCUAUGAACUAGUGCAAGCAUCUCGAAGUUGGAAUAUACGCUUUGAUGAGGUGAUCAAAGCAUUUGGUAUUAUACAAACUUACGGUAAAGCCUGUAUUUGCAAGAAAGUGAGUGGGAGCUCUGUAGCAUUUCUGAUAUUAUAUGUGGAUGACAUAUUGCUGAUUGGAAAUGAUAUAGAAUUUCUGGAUAGCAUAAAAGUUGAAUAA
RNAcentral lists this ribosomal RNA (804 nucleotides) under Triticum aestivum (bread wheat). RNAcentral describes it as "partial small subunit ribosomal RNA". The record is from RNAcentral. Lineage: Eukaryota; Viridiplantae; Streptophyta; Magnoliopsida; Poales; Poaceae.